UUCACCGUGUUAGCCAGGAUGGUUUCAAUCUCCUGACCUCAUGAUCCACCUGCCUCAGCCUCCCUGUAGGGUGACAGCCCUACAGGGUUGUGGGGUGUCCCCUAUCGCUGUGCUGAGGUGCAGGAUUCAAGAAAUAAAGAAACAGGACACAGAAGUACAAAGAAAGCACAGCUGGGCUCAGUGGGACCACCCCACUUAUAAGCAGAGACAGGCGAGGCUCCAAAUGUCCAGAAACGUCUGUAUUUAUUGGGUAUAGGUUAGGAGGCAGGGUAAUGAGUUAAGUCAUCUUUAGGAUAGUGAUAGGGUUGUGAGCAGUAAACAAGGGGUCCACCCACAUUAGGUCACCGAGGCAUGGAGGGAAGGCAGCCCCCAGGCCCCGAAGGCAAGCUUGCUGCUCAGACGCCUCUGAAGUUGGGGCUUGGAAAGGAAGCUGGAGCUACAGGAGUGAGCCCUUCGGAUGAACCGAGGAAAAGCGGACUUCCUGGGUCAGCGUCUGGGUACAGUAGCUGCUAGCUACAUGCGGCUAUUUAAACUCUAAUUUGAGCUGAUUAAAACCAAUUAAAGUUAAAAA
Cebus imitator (Panamanian white-faced capuchin) is the source of this 571-nucleotide long non-coding RNA. RefSeq lists it as uncharacterized. NCBI's taxonomy places the organism in Eukaryota, Metazoa, Chordata, Mammalia, Primates, Cebidae. The transcript has 2 exons. The record is from RefSeq and is a predicted model, not a curated record.